This 349-nucleotide long non-coding RNA is filed under the name Bos indicus x Bos taurus (hybrid cattle). RNAcentral's name for it is "lncRNA (ENSBIXG00000018484.1)". The record is from RNAcentral. Lineage: Eukaryota; Metazoa; Chordata; Mammalia; Artiodactyla; Bovidae.
AUCCACUUUUCAUCACAACCAGCUGUUCUUCUGCACGCUGUGACCACAAGAAUCAAGUGUGGACUAAGCUUUGAGGUGCAUUGAAAGGAAGAAAGUACAUCUUCACUGCAGGACAUGGACUAUAAGCUGGGAGGCAUCACUUUUCUUACAUCCAGUAUACCAAUAGAAGAACAUCUCACCUGGUGCCAAAGAUAACGGAGCACUUGGAAGAGCUGACGGCUUUGACAGUGUAUUUACAAGAGAGCUGAUCUGGCAACUGAUGGUUGGGUUCAGUUCAGCAAAUCCAUUAUUAAAAUGUUAUUAGCCAAUGAUGAAUAAAUAGGUUUGGAGCUUCCCUCUCCCUCUAUCU